CGCGUAGGUGGUUCGUUAAGUUGGAUGUGAAAUCCCCGGGCUCAACCUGGGAACUGCAUUCAAAACUGACGAGCUAGAGUAUGGUAGAGGGUGGUGGAAUUUCCUGUGUAGCGGUGAAAUGCGUAGAUAUAGGAAGGAACACCAGUGGCGAAGGCGGCUUCCUGGACCAAUACUGACGAUCAGGUGCGAAAGCGUGGGGAGCAAACAGGAUUAGAUACCCCUGUA
RNAcentral lists this ribosomal RNA (225 nucleotides) under uncultured Pseudomonas sp. RNAcentral's name for it is "partial 16S ribosomal RNA". It matches the Rfam family "Bacterial small subunit ribosomal RNA", at positions 568 to 792 of the family's 1533-position model. Lineage: Bacteria; Pseudomonadati; Pseudomonadota; Gammaproteobacteria; Pseudomonadales; Pseudomonadaceae. The record is from RNAcentral.